This 865-nucleotide long non-coding RNA is filed under the name Equus caballus (horse). Its description in RNAcentral is "lncRNA (ENSECAG00000057179.1)". The record is from RNAcentral. Lineage: Eukaryota; Metazoa; Chordata; Mammalia; Perissodactyla; Equidae.
GGAUGCUCAUCCAUUCGGGGCUGUUAUCAGUCCACCUGUCGCAGGACCAGUCUCUCUCCCUUGGGCGCCUCUCUGAGCCUUCAGACUACUGAAGCUUCAUGUUGGCCCAUGUCAUCCCAGAGCAAGGACAGAAGAGAUGAGAGAGUGGUGUCACGAAGAAGAAUGAUUCUUUUUGGUAUUGUACUCUUUUAGAGGACAUCAAAUGCAUUUCAGAUCUAGAGCACUUAGACUCAGCAACUGAAGAAUGAGUAGGAGUCUUUCAGAAGUCCAAUGAAAAUGUCAAGGCUCCUGGAAAAUUCCUCAUGCCCAGUGACUUUCUACUUACUCAGCUAAAACUCAGGUAUAGUGUAAAUGCCUGACAAGAGGCUUUUUUGGUUGUAAUGUAAGUGGCUGACAUUAAGCUUUUGAUUGCUGAGGCAUUGGUUUCAAAGGCGUAGAUGUAGAAUAAGCAAAUUGCCAACUGUGUGACACAGUUACUAGCUAAACAACUAGAAAAGGAACCAGGCUGCCCCCACCCAUGAAGUUCUCCUUUAAGAAAGCCCUGGAUAACCUAGAUAACUGACCACUUGAGUGAUCCCACGCUCUAAUUCCUGUUCUUGUGUCUUAAAUUUGCCAACAAAGAGUGAACCUGUGAAACCCUAGGUCCCCACCCUCUACUCCAAUAAAGGCAGAACCCCAGGUACACACUUUCUUUCUCUCUCUCUCUACCAGUGACCUCACUGUGUGGCCCCAGGCAUGCCCAUGUGUACUCUCCAGGACUUGUCAGUAAUACACUUGAUUUUUCAAAGUUCCCUGAUGCUGAUUUAUGUCUUACAAUCAGAAUAAGAACUGCUAGGACCAGUCUAAAUUGUUUGGUGUAGGGAAA